GACGAACGCUGGCGGCGUGCCUAACACAUGCAAGUCGAACGAAGAAGUGAGUUGCUUGCUCGUCUGACUGUAGCGGCGGACGGGUGAGUAACAAGAGGAUAACCUACCUAUAAGACUUGGUGAACAACGGGAAACCGGAGCUAAUACCAGAGAAUAUAUUGAACCUCUUGGUUCAAUAGUGAAGGACGGUUUUGGUGUCGGUUGGGGAUGGGUUCGCGGCGCAUUAGCUAGUUGGUGAGGUAACGGCUUACCAAGGCGGCGAUGCGUAGCCGCCCUGAGAGGGUGGUGGGCCACCAUGGUAGUGAGACACGGUCGAGCCGCCUACGGGAGGCAGCAGUAGGGAAUCUUACGCAAUGGUCGGAAGCCUGACGGAGCAGCGCCGCGUGGGUGAUGAUGGUCUUCGGAUCGUAAAACUCUUUUAUCGGGGGUGAAGAAGUGCUUCCUUGUCUGUGGGCGUCUUGACGGUAGCUGAACAAAAAGCGCCGGCUAACUACGUG
Molecule: ribosomal RNA, 497 nt
Filed under: uncultured bacterium
Lineage: Bacteria
Description: partial 16S ribosomal RNA
Rfam family: Bacterial small subunit ribosomal RNA
Source: RNAcentral